ACAGACUUCAUGGAAUCAUUUCUAUAGUAAACGUCCACAACUGUAUUCUUCAAAGAAGCUACAGACUCCAACCUGGCUGAUGAGUGCUAACCGCGGCGCCUAAGAGUGAUGCCGAUGUGGUGGUCUUUUCCAGAUUGCUGGCGAUGAUCUCGCCCUGCUUGAGCGUCUGGCUUCGGCCGGUUCCUGCAGGUAGGUGCUGUCGGUCGUCUGACAGGU
RNAcentral lists this small nucleolar RNA (216 nucleotides) under Pseudocercospora fijiensis CIRAD86. RNAcentral's name for it is "Fungal small nucleolar RNA U3". It matches the Rfam family "Fungal small nucleolar RNA U3". From Rfam's summary of the family: Small nucleolar RNAs (snoRNAs) are involved in the processing and modification of rRNA in the nucleolus. There are two main classes of snoRNAs: the box C/D class, and the box H/ACA class. The record is from Rfam by way of RNAcentral. Lineage: Eukaryota; Fungi; Ascomycota; Dothideomycetes; Mycosphaerellales; Mycosphaerellaceae.